AGAAAAUAGAUACCCGGGUAGUCCUGGCCCUAAACGCUGCUCGCUCGUUCUACGGAGUAUCGACCCUCUGUGGGACCAAAGCUAAACGCGGUAAGCGAGCCGCCUGGGUAGUACGAUCGCAAGAUUAAAACUCAAAGGAAUAGACGGGGACUCGCACAAGUGGUGGAUUAUGUGGCUUAAUUCGUCGACAAACGAAGAACCUUACCAAGGUUAGAAAUCCAGCUGCAUCUUUGGUGAAAAGCCGAAGAGCCUUCGAGGGUGCUGGACAGGUGAUGCAUGGUCGUCGUCAGUUCGUGGUUUGAACUGUUCCCUUCAGUGGGGUAACGAACGCAACCCCCGUUGCCUGUUAUAUAUGUCAGGCGAGACUGCUCCCUCACGGGAGAGGAAGGUGGGGAUGACGCCAGAUCAGCAUGUCCCUCUGAUACCUUGGGCCGCACACAUAAUACAAUGGUCGAUACAGAAGGAUGCGAUACCGCAAGGUGGAGCAAAUCCCGAAAACUCGUCCUCAGUACGGAGUUGAGGUCUGCAA
This 529-nucleotide ribosomal RNA is filed under the name uncultured bacterium. RNAcentral describes it as "bacterial SSU rRNA". It matches the Rfam family "Bacterial small subunit ribosomal RNA", at positions 775 to 1310 of the family's 1533-position model. The record is from RNAcentral.